GACGAACGCUGGCGGCGUGCUUAACACAUGCAAGUCGAACGGAAAGGCCCUGCUUUUGUGGGGUGCUCGAGUGGCGAACGGGUGAGUAACACGUGAGUAACCUGCCCUUGACUUUGGGAUAACUUCAGGAAACUGGGGCUAAUACCGGAUAGGAGCUCCUGCUGCAUGGUGGGGGUUGGAAAGUUUCGGCGGUUGGGGAUGGACUCGCGGCUUAUCAGCUUGUUGGUGGGGUAGUGGCUUACCAAGGCUUUGACGGGUAGCCGGCCUGAGAGGGUGACCGGCAACAUUGGGACUGAGAUACGGCACAGACUCAUACGGGAGGCAGAAGUGGGGAAUAUUGCACAAUGGGCGGAAGCCUGAUGCAGCAACGCCGCGUGCGGGAUGACGGCCUUCGGGUUGUAAACCGCUUUCGCCUGUGACGAAGCGUGAGUGACGGUAAUGGGUAAAGAAGCACCGGCUAACUACGUG
This 468-nucleotide ribosomal RNA is filed under the name uncultured bacterium. Its description in RNAcentral is "partial 16S ribosomal RNA". It matches the Rfam family "Bacterial small subunit ribosomal RNA", at positions 28 to 507 of the family's 1533-position model. The record is from RNAcentral.